GUAACUAAUGGUAAACGCUUAGUUUGUGACUCAUAAUCGUUAGGUCCCUGGUUCGAGUCCAGGUGGGGCCACCA
RNAcentral lists this transfer RNA (74 nucleotides) under Neptunicella marina. Its description in RNAcentral is "tRNA-Met". Lineage: Bacteria; Pseudomonadati; Pseudomonadota; Gammaproteobacteria; Alteromonadales; Alteromonadaceae. The record is from RNAcentral.